This 492-nucleotide ribosomal RNA is filed under the name uncultured bacterium. RNAcentral's name for it is "partial 16S ribosomal RNA". It matches the Rfam family "Bacterial small subunit ribosomal RNA", at positions 29 to 507 of the family's 1533-position model. The record is from RNAcentral.
AGUGAACGCUGGCGGUAUGCCUAACACAUGCAAGUCGAACGGCAGCACAGUAAGAGCUUGCUCUUACGGGUGGCGAGUGGCGGACGGGUGAGGAAUACAUCGGAAUCUACUUUUUCGUGGGGGAUAACGUAGGGAAACUUACGCUAAUACCGCAUACGACCUACGGGUGAAAGCAUGGGAUCUUCGGACCUUGCGCGAUUGAAUGAGCCGAUGUCGGAUUAGCUAGUUGGCGGGGUAAAGGCCCACCAAGGCGACGAUCCGUAGCUGGUCUGAGAGGAUGAUCAGCCACACUGGAACUGGGACACGGUCCAGACUCCUACGGGAGGCAGCAGUGGGGAAUAUUGGACAAUGGGCGCAAGCCUGAUCCAGCCAUACCGCGUGGGUGAAGAAGGCCUUCGGGUUGUAAAGCCCUUUUGUUGGGAAAGAAAAGCAGCAGGUUAAUACCCCGCUGUUCUGACGGUACCCAAAGAAUAAGCACCGGCUAACUUCGUG